GGUAGUCCACGCCGUAAACGUUGGGAACUAGAUGUGGGGACCUUUCCACGGUCUCCGUGUCGCAGCUAACGCAUUAAGUUCCCCGCCUGGGGAGUACGGCCGCAAGGCUAAAACUCAAAGGAAUUGACGGGGGCCCGCACAAGCGGCGGAGCAUGCGGAUUAAUUCGAUGCAACGCGAAGAACCUUACCAAGGCUUGACAUAUACCGGAAACUUCCAGAAAUGGUUGCCCCGCAAGGUCGGUAUACAGGUGGUGCAUGGUUGUCGUCAGCUCGUGUCGUGAGAUGUUGGGUUAAGUCCCGCAACGAGCGCAACCCUCGUUCUAUGUUGCCAGCACGUCAUGGUGGGAACUCAUAGGAGACUGCCGGGGUCAACUCGGAGGAAGGUGGGGAUGACGUCAAAUCAUCAUGCCCCUUAUGUCUUGGGCUUCACGCAUGCUACAAUGGCCGGUACAAAGGGCUGCGAUACCGUAAGGUGGAGCGAAUCCCAAAAAGCCGGUCUCAGUUCGGAUUGAGGUCUGCAACUCGACCUCAUGAAGUCGGAGUCGCUAGUAAUCGCAGAUCAGCAACGCUGCGGUGAAUACGUUCCCGGGCCUUGUACACACCGCCCGUCAAGUCAUGAAAGUCGGUAACACCCGAAGCCGGUGGCCUAACCCCUUGUGGGAGGGAGCCGUCGAAGGUGGGAUCGGUGAUUAGGACUAAGUCGUAACAAGGUAGCCGUACCGGAAGGUGC
Molecule: ribosomal RNA, 730 nt
Filed under: uncultured bacterium
Lineage: Bacteria
Description: bacterial SSU rRNA
Rfam family: Bacterial small subunit ribosomal RNA
Source: RNAcentral